This 102-nucleotide ribosomal RNA is filed under the name Bifidobacterium breve MCC 1128. RNAcentral describes it as "partial 16S ribosomal RNA". It matches the Rfam family "Bacterial small subunit ribosomal RNA", at positions 1 to 97 of the family's 1533-position model. Lineage: Bacteria; Bacillati; Actinomycetota; Actinomycetes; Bifidobacteriales; Bifidobacteriaceae. The record is from RNAcentral.
UUUUUGUGGAGGGUUCGAUUCUGGCUCAGGAUGAACGCUGGCGGCGUGCUUAACACAUGCAAGUCGAACGGGAUCCAUCAAGCUUGCUUGGUGGUGAGAGUG